This 253-nucleotide ribosomal RNA is filed under the name uncultured bacterium. Its description in RNAcentral is "partial 16S ribosomal RNA". It matches the Rfam family "Bacterial small subunit ribosomal RNA", at positions 524 to 776 of the family's 1533-position model. The record is from RNAcentral.
UACAUGGGGUGCAAACGUUGCUCGGAAUUACUGGGCGUAAAGCGCGCGUAGGCGGCUCUGCAAGUCGGGUGUGAAAUCCCCGGGCUCAACCUGGGAACUACAUUCGAGACUGCAUUGCUUGAGUAUGGGAGAGGGAGGCGGAAUUUCCGGUGUAGCGGUGAAAUGCGUAGAUAUCGGAAGGAACAUCAGUGGCGAAAGCGGCCUCCUGGACCAAUACUGACGCUCAAGUGCGAAAGCGUGGGGAGCAAACAGG